RNAcentral lists this long non-coding RNA (9192 nucleotides) under Phaseolus vulgaris (common bean). Its description in RNAcentral is "long non-coding RNA (PVUL_LNC000843)". The record is from RNAcentral. Lineage: Eukaryota; Viridiplantae; Streptophyta; Magnoliopsida; Fabales; Fabaceae.
GAUUCGAAGAGUUUCAAAAUCAAAAGAUUUCAAGUCUUGUUGAGAUGUGUUACUGCUAAAUCAAACCUCAAACUGCAGUUUUGAAAGAAUGGUAAUGCCAAAAAACAAUUUGGUUACAUACUACAUAAGAAUUAAAGGCCAAGUAAUAAUCUGCAAGUACCUCACAGAAAGUUUUGCUAAAGAAAUAAAUUUGCUAAAGAAAUAAAUUGCACAGGCAUAACAAAAUAAACAGAGUUUUACAAAAAUCACACACACGUUUACACUAGAAUUUAAAGAUGAAGUUAGUAGUACAAUAAAAUUAAUUACAGAAACAAUAAUAAUAAUUGUUAUGAGAUAAAUAAUAAUAAUAAUUAUUCUGAGAUAAAUAAUAAUAAUAAUUGUCCUGAGAUAAAUAAUAAUAAUAAUAAUAAUUGUCCUGAGAUAAAUAAUAAUAAUAAUAAUAAUAAUUUUUCUGAGAUAAAUAAUGAUAAUAAUUGUUCUUACAAUUUAUUUGAGACCAAAUAUCCUUUUUCAAGUCUUCUAUGUCUUCUCUCUCUUCAGUUCUUCUUUCGAGUAUGUCCGUGAGGGUGGAUACCUGCAAAGACACAUUGACGCUCAAGUCAACUGAAGUGUAUUUAUCUAGUUCAAAAUUGAAAUAGUCAUUAUCUUUCACCAUGGGAUCCGUUCUUAUUUAUACUUUUCUAUUGAGUUUUGUUUUGUGUAAAGAUACAUUAUCUCUUAAUCAUGUUUUAUCUCUUUUAAUCAGGCUUAAUCUAUUUAAUUUGCAGAUUAAUGUGAUACUAGUUUUAGCCAAAAGGUCGUGCUAUUGAAUAAGGUGAUCUACUUUUCGGCUUCUUGAUUCUUGAUAUAAUAAUAAUAAUAAUAAAACGAUGCAAGAGACCAUAUCAUAAAUCAAAACACAUAUAUAUAUAUAUAUACAAAUGAGAAACUAGAAACUAGUAGUGAGUAAAUAUGAAAAAUAAAAAACCUAUAAAAAUUCGCUUGAGGGAUGAAAAGGAAUAUAAUAGCACAAUUCAGUGCAUUCCUAAUUUGUUCAUGAAAUCACCCACUCAAUGCAGAUUUUCUAUUAAAAUUGAGAAAUUUAUGUGAAUUCUAAGAAUUGGAGAAUAAAAUAAAUGUAUUUUUUAAAGCUAUGAACUUCUUAAAAUGACCAUGAAAGAGAGGGGAAGACUCUUGCGAGAAGAAUCCUUAUUUGGAGAAUAAAAUGAAAUAUAAACCUUAUUUUGAGAAAGGCUUAAAAAUAUUGGAGAAAAAAGGAACAUAAUAAUAAACCAAAAAAUUGUCUUCUACAAUAUCUAAAAUAAUGAAAAUGGAAGACUUUAAUUUGCAACAAGUUUUCUUCAAAAUAUUGAGAGAAAUUGCAGAGUGAGGUUGAGGGAAGAUGUUCUAAUGUAGGAUGAGAGUUAGUAGAAGGAGAGGAAGGUAUUUAUACUAAAUUGAAUGUGACACUGACAAAAAGAAGAGUUAAAACAUUUAAUUUAGAGAGAUAAAUUUAUUAAAUGAAGAAUUGAAAUAAUUUAUUUUUAGAGAGAAAUUUAUUAAACCGACAAUGAAACAUUUUAUUAUAGUGAGAGAAUGAGAGAUUUCUUGUAUAAAAUCAUUAUUGUAGAAAGAGAAAUUCAUAAAUAAUGUGAUAAGAUAAGCGUUUAUUUACUUUAUGUCCUAACUACUACCGUAUAAUACAAUACAUUAAGAAUAAAAAAUUAGGGUGAGUUUAAACAUUCAAUAUCUUGUGACUACAAGCGUGUAUGAAUUCUCACUGUAUACAUUACUUAGUGAAGUUAUAUAAUCUCUAUUAAACAUAGAUUUUUCAUACUUAAUGUACCAUCAAGGAACAACUCAUACAUUAUUAUAAGUGUAUGACAUCAAUUUCAUACAAUUUCCAUUAUUCAGAUACAAUUCAUACCAUCCAAUCACCUAAUAUUCAAGAAUCUUUUCAACAUAAAAAAGCAACACUUAACUACCAAAUUAUCAAAACCAAUAACAUAUAAUCAAACUAUUUUAUCAAAUAACAUCAUGCAAGAAUUUUUUAACUUGGAAUCACGUCAUCUUUACAUCUAGAUCUUCUAGUCUAAAAAACUAUUGAAAGUUAAAGUUAACUUUCCUUAUCUUAAAUUAUUUAUUCCAAUGGAAAUUCUAGUUCAAGCUAGAAAACCACUCCAAAUUUUGAUGACCUAGAGUAAGUUAUUCAAACAUCCCUUGAGAGAAUUACUUUUAUCAACUGACCCUUUUAAGAUUGAUGACCAAAUCCUAAGUAACACAAAGAAUAAAAGAUAUUUAGAGUAAAUAGAAACUAACUAAAAUAAGAGAGUAGAAAACUUGAGAGAGAGAGAGAAAAAAAAAUAUAAGGAGUUGUGUUUUCUGUUAAUUUUUAGGUAUAAUUACCUUUUUGGUUUUUACAUUUAGGGUCAAUAUUCAAUUUACUAUCAUAAUAUUAAAAUAUUCAAUUUGGUCCUAAAGUUUUUUUAAAAUAUAUUUAAGUCGAUCAUUUCUGUUAACUUUGGACUAACAACGUUAAGUGCUUCUGAUGUAACAUACAUAAAUAUUUCUGAUGUGACAUAAAUCGGUGUAAAACAUCACUACAAGAAAAACAUGAAAUAAAAACCAAUUUUAGAGACAAAAAAAAUAGUUGUUAUAGUGACUAAAUUAGAAACCAUUUUAGAGACUAAAAAAAAUUUUGGUUUCUAAAUUAGUUUAUAUUAUUAUUAAAUGGUUUCUAAAUUUGUAUCUAAUUAGCAACCAAGAUUUUUGCUACCAAUUAAUUUUUUUUGUCAUUAAAAAUUAGUUUCUAUUUCAUGAUUUUCUAAUAAUACAUUAAUUGUGAUUUGUUGUACAUGUACGUCUCCACAGCUGCCUCUACAUCCCACCUCCCCCACAUCAAAAUAAAUUAUUUAACGGAUGAUUUGUUUAUUUAUUUAAUGUUAGGUCCAUCUCUUUCCUAUCUUCAUUUGCUCAUUUUAGUUUUUAAUUUAAUUAAAAUGCGUUAAAUUAGUAUUUUGUGCUAAACAUAAAUAGCUUUCUACUGUUAACUUCUCUAUAAAUUAAAAUUAGUUUUUAUGGAAAGCUAGUUUUGUAUAAUUUAUUUCACGUAGUUUUUCCACAUUUUUAAUUUUAACAUCAAUUUUAUUUUUUCUUUUAUAUUUUUUCUCUUUUAAAAGUGUUUACGGAUAAGUGUGUUCAAACAAACCUGAUGUGAAAAUGUACAUUGUACCUAACUCCAUGUGGAAAAUAAUAAAUUUCCAUUACUAUUAACAUCUUUAGUUUUUAUACCAACAAUUCUAACAACAAUGUGCUACUAUGUGUAAAUAAGCAUCACCGAGUCUUAUCAUCAUAAAAAUAAUAUAUUUAAUUGUUUUUUACUAUUUUUUAUAACUCCACCUAUUCUCAUUACAAUUAAGUAAUAUUAAUAGUAGACUACUUUGUUUAUAUUUUUAUAAUAACAUUUUCCAAAUAAUAUAAUAAAAAUUAUGUUAUUUCUUUUUUAUUAUUUAAAGAAUUAUCAUAUCUUUAUCAAUUCAUUCCUCAUACUUGGAGUAUAUUUAGUAAACUAAUAAAUAAUUACUAGUUUAUUUGACAAACUUAUAAGUUAGUUUGACCAACACAAACGUUUUUUUAUAAUAAUAUCACAAUAGCUUAUUUUAUGAGCUUGUAACUCAUAAACUAUAAAAUUAAUUCAAUUAACUUGUAGUUUAUUUAAUAUUUUUUCUCUUUUAUUGUCUCUUAUAUUUUAAUAUUUUUUUUUAUCUUUAAUUUUGUUUUACUAAUUAUUAUUACACAUUUCAAUCUCGUAGACACAAAUUAACUAUUACAUAUAUUUUAAUAUAUUUUUUAUUAUCUCUAAAUUUUUUUACUUAUUAUUAUUACAAAUUUAAAUUUUAUAGAUAUAAAUUAAUUGUUACUUUUUUUUAAAUAAAAACUUUCAUAUUAUAUUAUGCAUUAUUAUGUAACUAGACAUUUCAACUAGACUAACCUAAAACAACAACAAUCAUUUGUCAUUACAUAAAAAAAAGUAUUAUUAAAAAAUUAAAAAUACAAAAAUACCAAAAUGUUAACAAUAAUUAUUACAUCAUUUUAAUAUUUUUAGGUUAUUUUUAAUUUUUUAUGCAUUUUAAAUUAAAAAAUAUUUUAUAUUACAAACUGAACUAACAAAAGAUGAUAUUUAAAAAUUAUAUAAAAUCAAUAUAAUAAUAAAUUAAAUUAAAAUAAUAAUUUUUUUUUAUUUUUUUAUAAUUACUCAUCGGAUCAAGUCAUAUUAAAAAAUAAUAUAUUCAAAUAAAACUUACCAAAACUAUCUGUAAGUUAAAAAAAAGUAUGGAGAAAUCCUUAAUCGUAUAUCAAAUCUGCACUUAAAAAAAUAAUUAAAUAAUAAAUUAAAUUUUAAAAAAAUUAAUAACUAAAAUAUAUAUUAUUCUAAAAACUAAAAAAAUUAUUAUAUUUAAAUUUGUUUCUACUAUUAAUAAAAAAUAAAAAAUAAUUUUAAAUAAUUAUCUAAAUUUUAGUUACUAAUAUUUUAAAUUUUAAAGAUUAAAUUAGUCAAUCUAAUUAAUUUGUCACGUAAUGUUUGAAGUCCAACUUAUCUAUCAAGAUGCCUUAUAGUAAUCUAUCAUUCAUCUCCUUUCAAUCUCAUAAUGAACAAAAUCAACAUUCAAAGAAAAAAAACUUAAGAGAGUGGAUUACACUCAACGAGAGUGUGUUAAGGUUUUUUCUUGGAAUUUGGAAAAAAUUGUUGUUAGUAAAGUUAUAUUUUUAUUUAUUGUGUUAUAUUAUCUUUUCUAGUAAUUUAUUUAGGCAAUGAGUUAAUGUGAAUUAAUAUUUUCCCUGUAUGGUAACUAAUAAUGAAUAUAUAUGAUAUUGUCAUUUAUACGGCGAUUUCUUCUUCCAUCCCCAUAAUUUAAAAAAUAUCUAAAUUACUUUUUGAUUUUUUUUAUUAGACUUUUUUCUUAAUUCUAAAAUGUGAAAUUAGGAGAAUUUCUCAUAAUUUAGAAAAUACCUAAAUUUCUCUGGGAUAUUUUUCAUUAGAUUUUUUUUUAAUUUUAAAAUAUGAAUUUUGGAGAUUUUUUGAAUUAUAAAGAAAUUAAAAUAUAUGUUUUUUCAUAUUUUGAAUACAAAUUUUGUAUUCCAGAAUUUAUAUUCUGGAUAUUCCAUUUCAGAAAACCAAUUUUGUAUUUCAGAUUUUCCAAGAAUACACAAAAUUAUAUUUUAGAUUAUAUAAUAAAAAUAAAUGUUUUUAUAACUUUUGAAAAUAUGGGAUGCACGAACAAAAAAAAUGAAGGUGUAAUUCUGUAAUGAAUGUUCUACUUAAGAAAAGUCACAGAUGGGUGAACAUUUUACUCAUCGCAUUCUUAAUUCAACAACUAUUAUUAUAAAUUGAUAUUUGACCUAUGAACCCAUAACUCCAAUAUGUACAAAGAAGAGAUAAAAAAAAAAAUGUAAGCCCCAUAAAGAGCUCCCCCACACAGUCACCUUUUUCCUUUUUUUAAUUCUUUUUCUCUCCCAACUUUUCUUCUCUUCCUUUUUUCUUAAUUUUUUUUUAAUUUUCAUCUAUUUUAGAAUCUGAUCGUAUCACACUAUAAUUGAUGAGUUAAGAAACAUUUUUAUCCAAUCAAAUUUUUAAAUAUAAUAAAUUUAUUUUUCCUUUAAAGAUUCUUUAUUCUCUGUUUUUCUCUAUGAUUUAGUCAUCAAUCUUAGUGGAGUUAGCUUGUUGAAAUAUUAGAUUUUGAUAGUUUAGUAUUUAAAUGUUGUUUUUUUUUAUGUUAAAUAGGACUUUUAAUGUUGUUGAUUGCGUUUUCAAUAAUAUUGUAUAAUGAAAAUUGUAUGGAAUUGAAGUUAUACAUUUGGGAUAAUGUAUGGACUGAUGUGUGUUUGUUUAUUGAGUAUUGAUGCAUUAAUGUUUAUCUGCUAACAGAGAUCUCUGAGUUUCACUCAUGAUCUAAGUCACAUAAACUAAGAUAUCGAGUGGUGAGGACAUAUGAGAUGCACGACUUGAGUUGUAUUGAACUUACCCUAAUCCUUUCUUUUGGAUUCGCUAGUAAUCUAAGUAUUGGGUAUUGGACUAGGUGUUAGUCUCUAAUAGGACUUACUUAAUAUGAGCCUUCCGAAAUACGUCAAUUGUUAUUUUGUUUGUUGAAUAUCCUAGAUGUGUAUAUUCAAGUGAGAUCUAUGUGAUUGUUUUAUGUUGGGAUUUGAAGAAGAUUGAGCAAUUGAGAAACUGAUCAAUGCAAUUUGGUUUGCUCUUUUGAUUGAAUUGUCUAUAUUAUAAAAUUUUAUUUUCAUUAGUUUACCCUUACUUUUCUUGUUGUGUUGGGAACUGCAAUGACUAUACACGAGUAUAUGAUCAUACAGGUGAUGGAGGUUUUAAAGGGCUUUAGGAUGUUGUUUUGAACCUCAUAUUGUAAAUAUUUGUAUUUCUAUCAGUCAUAAUCAUGUAUUAGGAAUAUUUUGAAAAAUUCUAAACUUGUAUAUUAACAUAUGAAUUUUGUAUUGUAAUAGUUAGAUGUAUUUCUAAGAUGUUAUAAGAGAACCUCCAAAGAGUCUUACAACAAAUCCCAGAACUAGGAUCUACUACAAAUGGACUGCCUGAUUUUUUAGGUAGCCCAAAGUAACCUCCGACAACACCCAACAAAACUGAAUAUGAAGUCAACCCUCCUUUGAUGAAAUUAUUCCCAUCACAGAGAGAUAGUCCCAAAACUAUUGAUAAAAUUUUCCUUUGUAAACACACUCCAUUCAACAAAAGAGUGACACACCUAAGACUUGAGAUACGAGGUCAGUGCUCUUUACAGUGAAAGCCUCCCAUGACAGAGAUGUUCCCAGAAUAGCACCAAGGACACAAAGAUGAGCUCCCUUGUUCCAUAGAAGCACAGAUAAAUCUGAACAGAAAUACCUCAAAUGCAAGCAUAAACCUUUAUAAACAAAGGCUGCAACAUACACCACAUACCUUUGUGCAGCGUAUAUUCAUACCAUAUUAAGAAAAACACAUCUUAAACCUAACUAAGAGAUCAACAAAUAUAUCAAUGAAACAUAAGAUAUGUUACAUAGAUUUAAGACACACAAAAUACUAUAUUGGCACCAUUUAGGAUAUGAAAAAUUCUAACUUUUUAUUUAUGUUUAAUUCAGGAUCAAAUUUUUAAUUGAAUCACCUUUUAAAUUGAGUAAAACACCACACUUCAAUCAUAUCAACCUUUUUUCUUCCUAAAAAAUAUUAUUCCUAUGAUUUCUAUGCAUCUCACUUGUAAUCUUAAGUGCAUUUUUAUUCUAUACUUAUUAUCAAAUCAUUAUAUAUCAAUGGGUAUAAUAUAUAUUACCUUUGUACAAUAUAUAACCAAUUUUUUUCUUUUUUUUGCAUGAUUAUUCCUUUCAAAAUUUCAAUCUUUGGUUUUUCUUUAGCAGAAACAACAACAAUAAGACGUAGAAUUUUUUAAAGUUGAAACUAUUCGAACCAAAAUAAUGAGGAGACAAUAACAGAGUUGGCUGCUGUUACUACCCUGCACUAAGCAUUAACCAGUCACUCAAUUUCAAUCUUACCCUUCCAAUUUCAAUUUAUAGAUAUCAUUAUUCUUUUGAGAAUGAUAAUUUACUCUGAUAUAAUCUAUUUUAAUUUCUUUAAGCUCACCAUUCUGAAAAGAAUCUGAAUGUUUGUAAAAUUAAAUUGAAAGAGUAAAAUUGAUAAUAAGUGACAGUUUAAUGCUUAUUGCAGGAAGAAACAGCUCCCAACUCUGUUACUGGCUCCUCACUAUUUGGGUUCGAAGAGUUUCAAAAUCAAAAGAUUUCAGGUCUUGUUGAGAUGUGUUACUGCUAAAACAAACCUGAAGCUGCAAUUUUGAAAGAAUGGUAAUGCCAAAACACAAUUUGGUUACAUAUUGCAUAAGAAAUAAAGACCAUGUAAUAAUUUGCAACUACUUUGAAAGAGUUUUGCUAAAGAAAUAAAUUACACAAGCACAAAAAAAAUAAAUCGAGUUUUACAAAAAUCACACACACAUUUACACUAGAAUUUAAAGAUGAAGUUAGUAGUAAAAAAAAUUAAUUACAAAAACAAAAAAUACCCACAACAUAUACUCAUACAUUAAUUAGCCUUUUACGUGAAAACAUUUGAAUUGUAUAAAUAACCUCAAAUUGAGAUAAAUAAUAAUAAUAAUAAUAAUAAUAAUAAUAAUAAUAAUAAUAAUAAUAAUAAUAAUAAUAAUAAUAACAGUUCUGAGAUAAAUAAUAAUAAUAAUAAUAAUUGUUCUGAGAUAAAUAAUAAUAAAAUAAUAAUAAGUGUUCUUACCAUUUAUUUGAGACCAAAUAUUCUCUAUCAAGUGUCUUCCGUCUUCUCUCUCUUCAAUUCUUCCAUUGUUCUUUUGAGUAUGUCUGUGAGAUUGGAGUACCUGCAAAGAUACUCUGACGCUCAAGUCAGUUGAAUUGUAUAUCUGAUUAUCUAGUUCAAAAUUGAAACAGUCAUUACUUUUUACCAUAAGGUCUCCUCUUAUUUAUGCUUUUCUAUCGAGCUUUGUGUUGUGUAAAGAUUAGACCUAAUAAUCCCUUAAUAAUGUUUUAUCUCUUUUAAUCAAUGUUAAUCUAUUUAAUUUACGGAUUAACGUGAUACUAGUUUUAGCCAAAAGGUCGUGCUACUCUAUAAGGUGAUCUAAUUUUUUGCUUCUUGAUUCUUGAUAUAAUAAUAAUAAUAAUAAUAAUAAUAAUAAAAUGAUACAAGAGACCAUAGAAAAAUCAAUAUAUAUAUAUAUAUAUAUAUAUAAUGAAAAACUAGUAGUGAGUAAAUAUGAAAAAUCAAAAACCUAUAAAAAUUCGCUUGAGGGAUGAAAAGGAAUAUAAUAGCACAAUUCAGUGCAUUCCUAAUUUGUUCAUGAAAUCACCCACUCAAUGCAUAUUUUCUAUCAAAGUUGAGAAAUUUAUGUGAAUUCUAAGAAUUGGAGAAUAAAAUAAAUGUAUUUUUUAAAGCUAUGAACUUCUUUAAGAUGACCAUGAAAGGGAGGGGAACUCUCUUGCGAGAAUAAUCCUUAUUUGGAGAAUAAAAGGAAAUAUAAACCUUAUUUUGAGAAAGGCUUAAAAAUCUUGGAAAAAAAAGGAACACAAUAAUAAAACAAAAAGUUGUCUUCUACAAUAUCUAAAAUAAGAAAAAUGGAAGACUUUAAUUUGCAACAAGUUUUCUUCAAAAUAUUGAGAGAAAUUGCGGAGCGAGGUUGAGAGAAGUUGUUC